UAAGGGAUAUUGCACAAUGGGCGCAAGCCUGAUGCAGCAACGCCGCGUGCAUGAUGAAGGCCUUCGGGUCGUAAAAUGCUUUUCUGGCUGAAGAGGAAGGACAGUAAGCCAGGAAUAAGUGUCGGCUAACUACGUGCCAGCAGCCGCGGUAAAACGUAGGACGCAAGCGUUAUCCGGAGUUACUGGGCGUAAAGCGCGGGCAGGCGGCUCUGCCAGUCUGAUGUGAAAUCUCUCAGCUCAACUGGGAGCAGCCAUUGGAAACUACAGAGCUGGAGUCUAGCAGAGGUAGGCGGAAUUCCGGGUGGAGUGGUGAAAUGCGUAGAGAUCCGGAGGAACACCAGAGGCGAAGGCGGCCUACUGGGCUAGUACUGACGCUGAGCCGCGAAAGCCAGGGGAGCGAACGGG
Molecule: ribosomal RNA, 405 nt
Filed under: uncultured bacterium
Lineage: Bacteria
Description: bacterial SSU rRNA
Rfam family: Bacterial small subunit ribosomal RNA
Source: RNAcentral